GAUGAAGAACGCAGCGAAACGCGAUAUGUAAUGUGAAUUGCAGAAUUCAGUGAAUCAUCGAAUCUUUGAACGCACAUUGCGCCCCCUGGCAUUCCGGGGGGCAUGCCUGUCCGAGCGUCAUUGCUGCCCUUCAAGCCCGGCUUGUGUGUUGGGUCGUCGUCCCCCCCGGGGGACGGGCCCGAAAGGCAGCGGCGGCACCGCGUCCGGUCCUCGAGCGUAUGGGGCUUUGUCACCCGCUCGAUUAGGGCCGGCCGGGCGCCAGCCGGCGUCUCCAACCUUCUAUUUUACCAGGUUGACCUCGGAUCAGGUAGGGAUACCCGCUGAACUUAAGCAUAUCAAUAAGCGGAGGA
Molecule: unclassified non-coding RNA, 350 nt
Filed under: soil metagenome
Description: partial contains 5.8S ribosomal RNA, internal transcribed spacer 2, and large subunit ribosomal RNA
Rfam family: 5.8S ribosomal RNA (bases 1-120)
Source: RNAcentral